RNAcentral lists this ribosomal RNA (468 nucleotides) under uncultured bacterium. RNAcentral's name for it is "partial 16S ribosomal RNA". It matches the Rfam family "Bacterial small subunit ribosomal RNA", at positions 28 to 507 of the family's 1533-position model. The record is from RNAcentral.
GACGAACGCUGGCGGCGUGCUUAACACAUGCAAGUCGAACGGAAAGGCCCUGCUUUUGUGGGGUGCUCGAGUGGCGAACGGGUGAGUAACACGUGAGUAACCUGCCCUUGACUUUGGGAUAACUUCAGGAAACUGGGGCUAAUACCGGAUAGGAGCUCCUGCUGCAUGGUGGGGGUUGGAAAGUUUCGGCGGUUGGGGAUGGACUCGCGGCUUAUCAGCUUGUUGGUGUGGUAGUGGCUUACCAAGGCUUUGACGGGUAGCCGGCCUGAGAGGGUGACCGGCCACAUUGGGACUGAGAUACGGCCCAGACUCCUACGGGAGGCAGCAGUGGGGAAUAUUGCACAAUGGGCGGAAGCCUGAUGCAGCGACGCCGCGUGCGGGAUGACGGCCUUCGGGUUGUAAACCGCUUUCGCCUGUGACGAAGCGUGAGUGACGGUAAUGGGUAAAGAAGCACCGGCUAACUACGUG